UGAGGAAUAUUGCGCAAUGGAGGCAACUCUGACGCAGCCAUGCCGCGUGCAGGAAGAAGGCGCUACGCGUUGUAAACUGCUUUUAUCCGGGAAGAAACCCCAGGACGUGUCCUGGGUUGACGGUACCGGAGGAAUAAGCACCGGCUAACUUCGUGCCAGCAGCCGCGGUAAUACGAAGGGUGCAAGCGUUAUCCGGAUUCAUUGGGUUUAAAGGGUGCGUAGGCGGGGUGGUAAGUCAGUGGUGAAAGCC
RNAcentral lists this ribosomal RNA (250 nucleotides) under uncultured bacterium. RNAcentral describes it as "partial 16S ribosomal RNA". It matches the Rfam family "Bacterial small subunit ribosomal RNA", at positions 355 to 602 of the family's 1533-position model. The record is from RNAcentral.